Molecule: long non-coding RNA, 2100 nt
Organism: Parus major (Great Tit)
Lineage: Eukaryota; Metazoa; Chordata; Aves; Passeriformes; Paridae
Exons: 2
Source: RefSeq, a predicted model, not a curated record
GGGAAAGUAUGUGGAACUAAAAAGAAGAAAAUGGAAGGGAGGUGAAGGUCUUGUCAGCAAGCAGAGGCUGAAUGCACAGGAAGAGAUGAGACCUGCAAUGCUGCCCGCUUCCUUCUUCCCCCUGCUUGGUGCCUCCUGCCAAUAAAUAAAAACCCAUAUGCGUGUGGGUUGUGAUAGACACAGGUUCCUGUCCUCCUGCUGCCUGCUUCAGCACAGGGGGUUGAUGUGAGAUCUCCCACUCUCCAUGAGGGUGUUCUACCUGCUAGACUUGGAGGUAUGCAGAGGAGGAGCUGCUCUUCUAAAACUUUUUUGCUCUAAACUGCUUACACAUUGCCUGAGGGGAAAAAAAGCUGUGGCAGAUAGUGAUGAAGAAGGAAGCUGAGCAAGUCAACACACUGAACAACUACGAAAAUGCUGAAUUAUCUAUGCAAAGGACAAUAUCUUCAUCUCAGGGAGUUAAGACAAUCAGCCUGUAAAACCUUGUGGUGCAGUAUCAAGGCCUAAUCCUAGGAAACAGAGGGGAGACUCUUAGACAAACAUCAUAAAUACUGAGACAUCUAUGGGAUCCCUGCCUCUCACUAACAUAAUGGCUGUAAUCUUUUGAGUUUAUUAAGUGUGCCUAGAAGUUAAUUGAAAGUAUUUAUUUAGUGAGCAAAAUUAACUGUUUCAGUACUAUGGAAAAACUGAGUGAAUAUUGAUUGAUUUAAUUUGAUUUUUAAACUACAAUUUAUAUCAGGAAGGAGGAAAAGGGAAGAAAAACUAGCAACGUGAGCGGAUCCAAUGGACCAAAGCAAUUUGGGAUUUACCAUAGCUAAUAUUAUAUGCAUAAGUACUUCUUUUGCAGAACAAAGAUUGUGCUGCAGAAACUAUUUUAAUAGACUUCAGUAUAUGUAGGAUAGGGGAAAUCUUUGAUCAGUUCAGGAAGAAGGCAGGGUGUUUAUUUUCUUUAAUCUCACUCAACAGCAACAAAUAAAGACUGAUAAUAGUCCAAGGAGUCUACUGGAUGCUUGUAUCAGGAAGGAGAACAGAGUGUAACUGAUCAAUGGUUGUCUCUAUCAAGCUGCAUUUGGUUGGGAUUUUUCCUUUCCAAAUUGUCAUGACUGAAGCUAGUAAAAGUUGAAAGGAGGAUGGAUAUCUACAAGGAUAAUCGUUAAGGUGUGUGUACUGCUUCCACAGCUAUUAGAUCAAAGCCCUUUACUGAACUAUUUUAUUAUCAGGCUUAUAAAUCAGUCUCAGUUCAUUUUACAAACAUUAGUAGUCCCAUCAAUUACAGGCAUUUAGGACUAAUGGUUUUACAGGAAUGUUAAUAGUACAACUUUUUUUCCUGAAAACCAUCACUGAAGACUAUUAAAAGGUUAUUAAUUGCUGUAUGUAACAUGCACAAUUAUUUGUUUCUAGUUUCUAUCAGCAGAUUGGCAUGUAAGUACAUUUGCUAACCAGUUAAACUUCAUGGAUAUCAAAUGUAGUAAAUGCAAAACCAUUUAUAAGCCAUCCUUUUCCAGCUUUCCUUCACAGACAUGGUCUAAGUACACCAGGACCAUUCUACUGCUGCCUUUCAAAGCCCUUAUGGAUGUGGUACAGCACUCCAGACACUGCCACCAUCCCUGCAGGGACCCUGGGGCUUGAGGCAGACUGUCCCCAGGCAGUAGCUAUUUUACCAGGCAGGGACAAGUGUCAGGUCACAGCCUGUUGGCUCAGGUAGAAGUGAUGGGCGCUGCACUGAGACCUGAACAAAACAGAAAUAGCACAAGAAGAUACUUGAGGAGUGAGGGUUUCACAGGAGAGAAGCUUCCCUGUGGAGGGUGUGUAACCUGCUGUAGGAACACUUUGGGCUCUGGAUCAUUCCAUACCUCAGAAAUUUUGAAACACCUCCUAAUUGAUUCAGGCAUUUCCCAUUUUACUCUCCAGCCCCUGAUAAUGUAGAUGCCUCUUCAGAUGCACAGAUUUAGCUGCAGGGUACAUAGUACAAAUUGCUAGAUAUGAUGUUCCUCUGUAUGUGUGUGAAAUGAACUGCCUGUCCCAGCCAAACCUACCCUUAGCCCAUACUAAGUGCUAAAGUUCUGUUUCUGAUCACUAAAUAAUAAAACAACCAAAACUCAA